CCUACGGGAGGCAGCAGUAGGGAAUCUUUCACAAUGGGCGAAAGCCUGAUGGAGCAACGCCGCGUGCAGGAUGAAGGCCUUCGGGUUGUAAACUGCUUUUAUAAGCGAGAAAUAUGAUGGUAACUUAUGAAUAAGGAUCGGCUAACUACGUGCCAGCAGCCGCGGUCAUACGUAGGAUCCGAGCAUUAUCCGGAGUGACUGGGUGUAAAGAGUUGCGUAGGUGGCAUAAUAAGUAGCUAGUGAAAUCUGGUGGCUCAACCAUUCAGACUAUUAGCUAAACUGUUAAGCUCGAGACCGUUAGGAGUAACUGGAAUUUCUAGUGUAGGAGUGAAAUCCGUAGAUAUUAGAAGGAACACCAAUAGCGUAGGCAGGUUGCUGGGACGGUUCUGACACUAAGGCACGAAAGCGUAGGGAGCAAACGGGAUUAGAUACCCCAGUAGUC
Molecule: ribosomal RNA, 442 nt
Filed under: uncultured bacterium
Lineage: Bacteria
Description: partial 16S ribosomal RNA
Rfam family: Bacterial small subunit ribosomal RNA
Source: RNAcentral